GACGAACGCUGGCGGCGUGCUUAACACAUGCAAGUCGAGCGGUAAGGCUCCUUCGGGAGUACACGAGCGGCGCACGGGUGAGUAACACGUGAGUAACCUGCCCCAUUCAUCGGAAUAACCAGUGGAAACGCUGGCUAAUGCCGAAUACGACCACCGAAGGCAUCUUCUGGUGGUGGAAAGCUCCGGCGGAGUGGGAUGGACUCGCGGCCUAUCAGCUUGUUGGUGAGGUAACGGCUCACCAAGGCGACGACGGGUAGCCGGCCUGAGAGGGUGACCGGCCACACUGGGACUGAGACACGGCCCAGACUCCUACGGGAGGCAGCAGUGGGGAAUAUUGGACAAUGGGCGAAAGCCUGAUCCAGCAACGCCGCGUGAGGGAUGACGGCCUUCGGGUUGUAAACCUCUUUCAGCAGGGACGAAGCGAAAGUGACGGUACCUGCAGAAGAAGGACCGGCCAACUACGUG
This 465-nucleotide ribosomal RNA is filed under the name uncultured bacterium. Its description in RNAcentral is "partial 16S ribosomal RNA". It matches the Rfam family "Bacterial small subunit ribosomal RNA", at positions 28 to 507 of the family's 1533-position model. The record is from RNAcentral.